RNAcentral lists this ribosomal RNA (504 nucleotides) under uncultured bacterium. Its description in RNAcentral is "bacterial SSU rRNA". It matches the Rfam family "Bacterial small subunit ribosomal RNA", at positions 355 to 874 of the family's 1533-position model. The record is from RNAcentral.
UGGGGAAUCUUGCACAAUGGGCGCAAGCCUGAUGCAGCAACGCCGCGUGCGGGAAGACGGCCCUAGGGUUGUAAACCGCUUUCAGGAGGGAAGAAAAUGACGGUACCUCCAGAAGAAGGUGCGGCCAACUACGUGCCAGCAGCCGCGUGACACGUAGGCACCAAGCGUUAUCCGGAUUUAUUGGGCGUAAAGAGCUCGUAGGCGGUUCGGUAAGUCGGGUGUGAAAUCCAAGGCUCAACCUUGGGACGCCACCCGAUACUGCUGUGACUCGAGUGCAGUAGGGGAGCAGGGAAUUCCUGGUGUAGCGGUGAAAUGCGCAGAUAUCAGGAGGAACACCAGUGGCGAAGGCGCUGCUCUGGGCUGUAACUGACGCUGAGGAGCGAAAGCAUGGGUAGCAAAACAGGAUUAGAUACCCUGGUAGUCCAUGCCGUAAACGUUGGGCACUAGGUGUGGGUCUCAACCAACGAGAUCCGCGCCGUCGCUAACGCAUUAAGUGCCCCGCCU